Molecule: long non-coding RNA, 545 nt
Organism: Sciurus carolinensis (gray squirrel)
Lineage: Eukaryota; Metazoa; Chordata; Mammalia; Rodentia; Sciuridae
Exons: 3
Source: RefSeq, a predicted model, not a curated record
AGAAGUUUAAUGUGAGUUCCUUUAGUAGGGUUCGGGGACUGUUCUAGAAUUUAUCAGGAGAAGAACAGAGGAAACAAGAACUCUGCCAAAAAGUGUGACCGAUGUGAUAGACUGCGAGCUAAGCUGGAUAGGACUGGAAAUGAAGGCAGUGGAAAGCUGGUGGGAGAAAGCAGAGGUGCCACCUGUGGACUCAAAAUCCUGAUAAGGCUGUGCUCCCAGCUGCUUUCCUCUGACACCCUUCCACCUUGAUGUUCUGCCUAACAUUAAGUCCCAAGGAAUGGAGCUGUCUGUUUAUGGACCAUGAGACCCCUGAAAUGGUGUGUCCCACAGGUAUUUCUGUGCAGUUCCCCUGGGCAUCCCCUUUGACGUGAGAUGGAGAAGCAACUCUGGUGUGAUCCUGUAGCAGCGUAGCCUCAGCCACAGAAAAUGCUGUUCUCCUACGUCUCCACCCCGGUCCCCCUCGGCUAAUGGUGUCACAGUGCAGCACAUCGGCCUUGCGUGCAGGACUAUGUGGGGGAAUUUUGAUAAACCUUUCUUCCCUCUCC